AGGACAGGUGGGCCCACAGGGGGAGCCCUUUAAGAAGUCCAGAGACUCCCAGGAGGCUGCGGGAAACUUCAGACAUGCUCCCCCACCCCCCUCGCUGCCCCACAUUCCACCAGUGUUCUAAAGGGCGAGAAGUAACAGCUGGACCCAGAGAGAUGGCUGAAUGCCAGGUCCCCACCAAGAAGGGGUCUAGGGGUCGGGACUCCUGGGUCUGGGACCCAGAUUCUUGGGUCCCCAAGAAAGGAGAAAGAUGAGGGCCUGGACUCAUGGGUCCCAAGAGGAGGGAGAGGAAGGGGUGAGGGCUGCCAGCCCGAAGUCUGGCAUGGGGAGGUAGGGGGUUAGGGGUAAGACAGGGUCUAGAAAGCCAUUCUUAGUAUCUGCAAGUCAGGAGUUUUCCGGAAACCAGAGCCGGGAGGGGGGGUCCGGUUUCCCAGUGUAGGCAGGACGGCUGCCGGGGGGAGGAGGUCUCCGAGCCCGCAAGGAGGGCCCUGAGGCCUGGAGACUCCUGAGUGUCCCGCACACCUGAAGCCCUGGGGCCCCGGCCACCUGGGACCUCGGAUUGGCCACCGCCCCUCCUGGGACCGCGCCCCGCCAGCGCCCCGCGAGUGUUCCCGGAGCGGGCGCGGCGGGCACCGGACGCGGGGGAGGAGGCCGGUGCCCCCAGCGGGGCGGGUGGGGAGGCCGGGAAGGCCCUGGAGGGCUGCCCGGACGUUGGCGCCCUUCCCGGCAGGGGGACCUGUGGCUUUCUGAAUGGGGGUGGUAGCGGCUGGACGCCGGCUGGGAGGGGAGCUGAAGGAGAGCCGGAAACUUCCCCGCCUCCAGGAGCUCCAAGCCAACCCGGCGGCAGCCUCCCGUGACGUCACGAGUUGCCGGGCAGACUGCUGCGCCGCUCCUGCGGGCAGGGCGAGACGCUGCCCCUCGGGGCCUCGCGCCGCGCGUGCUCCAGGCUGUACCCAGAGAAAUGGGGACGGACAUACAGAGAGAAGACAGAGACCCACCCCGGAAAGGGAACCAGGGAGAGGGAGAGGAGGAACACCAUCGUCGAGAGAGGGAGACAAAAAUGGAAUGGAACCAGCGUGGCCCCUCGCAAGUCCCUCCCCCGGCCCCCAGGGCUCGGCCUGGGCUGGCUCUGCCUGCCUCUCGCCCCUCCUCUUACCCUCUCUGAAGGCCAGCGGUGUUUUUGUCCCUGACCAAGGAUCUAGAAGGGACACACUGAGGCUCAGAAGCAGCAAGUCUUUCGCUCCGGAUCCCUCAGCCAGCCAGUCUGAAGGGCCCGGGACCCUGGCCUCCUAGCCCACAGCCUCUAACACCCCCAGUGGGGUCCAGUCAGAGCUCCCACAGUGC
This is a long non-coding RNA of Manis javanica (Malayan pangolin), 1341 nucleotides long. RefSeq lists it as uncharacterized. NCBI's taxonomy places the organism in Eukaryota, Metazoa, Chordata, Mammalia, Pholidota, Manidae. The record is from RefSeq and is a predicted model, not a curated record.